CCAGUGUGUGCUCGCCUCCGCAGGUUCGCGCCGCGGUCGCCGGAGGAGUGGGCACCGCAGGUUAGUGUUCUUCGUUCUAUUUCGAUUCUUCUUUUUAGAAAAUCGAGUGAGCUGAUUUGGGGCUUUUUCUUCGUAGCGUCGAGCAAGGCUACCCUGCUCACCUAGGGAUUUUCCUCCAUGGCCGCCAAACUAAAUGUCUCAGUCCCAGGGCAGUGGCGGAGCUACGGGCCAAUGGUUGGGCGGGCCAACUAGAGAAGAGCACAUGAAUUUUUGCACUCGCGACC
Molecule: long non-coding RNA, 284 nt
Filed under: Triticum aestivum (bread wheat)
Lineage: Eukaryota; Viridiplantae; Streptophyta; Magnoliopsida; Poales; Poaceae
Description: long non-coding RNA (TAES_LNC021906)
Source: RNAcentral